RNAcentral lists this ribosomal RNA (255 nucleotides) under uncultured bacterium. RNAcentral's name for it is "partial 16S ribosomal RNA". It matches the Rfam family "Bacterial small subunit ribosomal RNA", at positions 526 to 779 of the family's 1533-position model. The record is from RNAcentral.
CGUAGGGGCAAGCGUUAUCCGGAUUUACUGGGGUGUAAAAGGGAGCGUAGACGGCAGUGCAAGUCUGAAGUGAAAGCCCGGGGCUCAACCCCGGGACUGCUUUGGAAACUGUGCAGCUAGAGUGUCGGAGAGGCAAGCGGAAUUCCUAGUGUAGCGGUGAAAUGCGUAGAUAUUAGGAGGAACACCAGUGGCGAAGGCGGCUUGCUGGACGAUGACUGACGUUGAGGCUCGAAAGCGUGGGGAGCAAACAGGAUU